CAAUAGCGUAUAUUUAAGUUGUUGCAGUUAAAAAGCUCGUAGUCGGAUUUCGGUUAAGAGCGACCGGUCCGCCGUUUGGUGUGCACUGGUUGGUUUUAACUUCCUGUAGAGGACGUGCUCUGGGUUUAACGACCUGGACUCGGAGUCUACGUGGUUACUUUGAAAAAAUUAGAGUGUUCAAAGCGGGCUUACGCUUGAAUAUUUCAGCAUGGAAUAACACUAUAGGACUCCUGUCCUAUUUCGUUGGUCUCGGGACGGGAGUAAUGAUUAAGAGGAACAGUUGGGGGCAUUCGUAUUUCAUUGUCAGAGGUGAAAUUCUUGGAUUUAUGAAAGACGAACUUCUGCGAAAGCAUUUGCCAAGGAUGUUUNCAUUAA
RNAcentral lists this ribosomal RNA (375 nucleotides) under uncultured eukaryote. Its description in RNAcentral is "partial 18S ribosomal RNA". It matches the Rfam family "Eukaryotic small subunit ribosomal RNA", at positions 592 to 976 of the family's 1831-position model. The record is from RNAcentral.